Molecule: long non-coding RNA, 533 nt
Organism: Suricata suricatta (meerkat)
Lineage: Eukaryota; Metazoa; Chordata; Mammalia; Carnivora; Herpestidae
Exons: 3
Source: RefSeq, a predicted model, not a curated record
CUUCUGGAAGAAUCUAGUAAAGAGAUGAUCUUUAUAUAACCAAAAGCUAAGGACAAUGGCAUAAAGAAUUACCUAAUUGGCACAAAGUCACAGAAAGCUUGGCUUUGCCAUCUGCACAGCACCUGAAGUUGAAUGGAUGCCCUUUACUGCAAUACCACCAAAGCCGUUCCACUGAAAUCAUUUUAAAGACUCAGCCAUCUCAUGUCAAAUGGUACAGACACCACCAUCUGCACAUCCACUGUCUACUGCACUCAAGCCCAUCAAUCUGUAUUGACCGUUUUGAUAGUCAUCCAGUUAAGCAACUGCUUCUAUUUUUCAAGUGAGCCAUGCAGGGAUGUAGAAUAUGUCAGCUAUGUUUUUAUCCGUAAAUAUGGUAUAAAAGUUGUGAUCCAAAGUGAGAGAACCUGGUAGGUUAAACAUAAUUUGUGAGCUUUUAAAUACAAGCAUUGCAAAUAAUGUAUCUUUUCUAAUUGUUCUGCUAGGGAAACAAGAUUUAAAAAGACAUCAACUGUUAAUAGAUUGUUUUCACUAAA